CUACUACUCCCUCCGUCCAACAAAGGAUGUCUCCACUUUGAUCAAAUUUGAAUGCAUCUAUACACUAAGUCAUGUCUAGAUACAUCCAAAUUUUAUCCAAAUUUUGACAAACUUAAGACAUCUUUUGUUGGGCGGAGGGAGUAGCAU
This is a non-coding RNA of Brachypodium distachyon (stiff brome), 147 nucleotides long. NCBI's taxonomy places the organism in Eukaryota, Viridiplantae, Streptophyta, Magnoliopsida, Poales, Poaceae. The record is from Rfam.